RNAcentral lists this ribosomal RNA (1540 nucleotides) under Klebsiella pneumoniae. RNAcentral's name for it is "bacterial SSU rRNA". It matches the Rfam family "Bacterial small subunit ribosomal RNA". The record is from RNAcentral. Lineage: Bacteria; Pseudomonadati; Pseudomonadota; Gammaproteobacteria; Enterobacterales; Enterobacteriaceae.
AAAUUGAAGAGUUUGAUCAUGGCUCAGAUUGAACGCUGGCGGCAGGCCUAACACAUGCAAGUCGAGCGGUAGCACAGAGAGCUUGCUCUCGGGUGACGAGCGGCGGACGGGUGAGUAAUGUCUGGGAAACUGCCUGAUGGAGGGGGAUAACUACUGGAAACGGUGGCUAAUACCGCAUAAUGUCGCAAGACCAAAGUGGGGGACCUUCGGGCCUCAUGCCAUCAGAUGUGCCCAGAUGGGAUUAGCUAGUAGGUGGGGUAACGGCUCACCUAGGCGACGAUCCCUAGCUGGUCUGAGAGGAUGACCAGCCACACUGGAACUGAGACACGGUCCAGACUCCUACGGGAGGCAGCAGUGGGGAAUAUUGCACAAUGGGCGCAAGCCUGAUGCAGCCAUGCCGCGUGUGUGAAGAAGGCCUUCGGGUUGUAAAGCACUUUCAGCGGGGAGGAAGGCGUUAAGGUUAAUAACCUUGGCGAUUGACGUUACCCGCAGAAGAAGCACCGGCUAACUCCGUGCCAGCAGCCGCGGUAAUACGGAGGGUGCAAGCGUUAAUCGGAAUUACUGGGCGUAAAGCGCACGCAGGCGGUCUGUCAAGUCGGAUGUGAAAUCCCCGGGCUCAACCUGGGAACUGCAUUCGAAACUGGCAGGCUAGAGUCUUGUAGAGGGGGGUAGAAUUCCAGGUGUAGCGGUGAAAUGCGUAGAGAUCUGGAGGAAUACCGGUGGCGAAGGCGGCCCCCUGGACAAAGACUGACGCUCAGGUGCGAAAGCGUGGGGAGCAAACAGGAUUAGAUACCCUGGUAGUCCACGCCGUAAACGAUGUCGAUUUGGAGGUUGUGCCCUUGAGGCGUGGCUUCCGGAGCUAACGCGUUAAAUCGACCGCCUGGGGAGUACGGCCGCAAGGUUAAAACUCAAAUGAAUUGACGGGGGCCCGCACAAGCGGUGGAGCAUGUGGUUUAAUUCGAUGCAACGCGAAGAACCUUACCUGGUCUUGACAUCCACAGAACUUUCCAGAGAUGGAUUGGUGCCUUCGGGAACUGUGAGACAGGUGCUGCAUGGCUGUCGUCAGCUCGUGUUGUGAAAUGUUGGGUUAAGUCCCGCAACGAGCGCAACCCUUAUCCUUUGUUGCCAGCGGUCCGGCCGGGAACUCAAAGGAGACUGCCAGUGAUAAACUGGAGGAAGGUGGGGAUGACGUCAAGUCAUCAUGGCCCUUACGACCAGGGCUACACACGUGCUACAAUGGCAUAUACAAAGAGAAGCGACCUCGCGAGAGCAAGCGGACCUCAUAAAGUAUGUCGUAGUCCGGAUUGGAGUCUGCAACUCGACUCCAUGAAGUCGGAAUCGCUAGUAAUCGUAGAUCAGAAUGCUACGGUGAAUACGUUCCCGGGCCUUGUACACACCGCCCGUCACACCAUGGGAGUGGGUUGCAAAAGAAGUAGGUAGCUUAACCUUCGGGAGGGCGCUUACCACUUUGUGAUUCAUGACUGGGGUGAAGUCGUAACAAGGUAACCGUAGGGGAACCUGCGGUUGGAUCACCUCCUUA